GAUGAACGCUGGCGGCGUGCCUAAUACAUGCAAGUCGAGCGAACAGAUAAGGAGCUUGCUCCUUUGACGUUAGCGGCGGACGGGUGAGUAACACGUGGAUAACCUACCUAUAAGACUGGGAUAACUUCGGGAAACCGGAGCUAAUACCGGAUAACAUAUUGAACCGCAUGGUUCAAUAGUGAAAGGCGGCUUUGCUGUCACUUAUAGAUGGAUCCGCGCCGUAUUAGCUAGUUGGUAAGGUAACGGCUUACCAAGGCAACGAUACGUAGCCGACCUGAGAGGGUGAUCGGCCACACUGGAACUGAGACACGGUCCAGACUCCUACGGGAGGCAGCAGUAGGGAAUCUUCCGCAAUGGGCGAAAGCCUGACGGAGCAACGCCGCGUGAGUGAUGAAGGUCUUCGGAUCGUAAAACUCUGUUAUCAGGGAAGAGCAAAUGUGUAAGUAACUGUGCACAUCUUGACGGUACCUGAUCAGAAAGCCACGGCUAACUACGUG
This 497-nucleotide ribosomal RNA is filed under the name uncultured bacterium. Its description in RNAcentral is "partial 16S ribosomal RNA". It matches the Rfam family "Bacterial small subunit ribosomal RNA", at positions 28 to 507 of the family's 1533-position model. The record is from RNAcentral.